AACGAACGCUGGCGGCGUGCUUAACACAUGCAAGUCGAACGAAGAGCGAUGGGCUCUUGCUUCUAUCCAUCUGGGUGACGGACGAGUGAUUAACGCGUAAUCAACCUGCCCUUCGGGGGGGGACAGCAGUUGGAAACUACUUCUCAUAUCGCAUACGAUCUGGCCUCGGCAUCGAGGUCGGACGUAGGGCGGCCUCGUCAUGUAAGCUAUCACUGAAGAAGGGGAUUGCGUCUGGUUAGCUAGGUGGAGGGGUAACGGCCCAUCAAGGCGAUGGUCAGUAGCCGGUCUGAGAGGAUGAACGGCCACAUUGGGACUGAGACACGGCCCAGACUCCUACGGGAGGCAGCAGUGGGGGAUCUUCCGCAAUGGACGAAAGUCUGACGGAGCAACGCCGCGUGAGUGAUGACGGCCUUCGGGUUGUAAAGCUCUGUUAAUCGGGAAGAAAGGCCUUUUUGCGAAUAGUGAGAAGGAUUGACGGUACCGGAAUAGAAAGCCACGGCUAACUACGUG
RNAcentral lists this ribosomal RNA (510 nucleotides) under uncultured bacterium. RNAcentral's name for it is "partial 16S ribosomal RNA". It matches the Rfam family "Bacterial small subunit ribosomal RNA", at positions 29 to 507 of the family's 1533-position model. The record is from RNAcentral.